UAGGGAAUCUUCCACAAUGGGCGCAAGCCUGAUGGAGCAACACCGCGUGAGUGAAGAAGGGUUUCGGCUCGUAAAACUCUGUUGUUGAAGAAGAACGUGCAUGAGAGUAACUGUUCAUGCAGUGACGGUAUUCAACCAGAAAGUCACGGCUAACUACGUGCCAG
This 164-nucleotide ribosomal RNA is filed under the name uncultured bacterium. Its description in RNAcentral is "partial 16S rRNA". It matches the Rfam family "Bacterial small subunit ribosomal RNA", at positions 355 to 511 of the family's 1533-position model. The record is from RNAcentral.